This 253-nucleotide ribosomal RNA is filed under the name uncultured bacterium. RNAcentral describes it as "partial 16S ribosomal RNA". It matches the Rfam family "Bacterial small subunit ribosomal RNA", at positions 524 to 776 of the family's 1533-position model. The record is from RNAcentral.
UACGAAGGGUGCAAGCGUUACUCGGAAUUACUGGGCGUAAAGCGUGCGUAGGUGGUUUGUUAAGUCUGAUGUGAAAGCCCUGGGCUCAACCUGGGAAUGGCAUUGGAUACUGGCAAUCUAGAGUGCGGUAGAGGGGUGUGGAAUUCCCGGUGUAGCAGUGAAAUGCGUAGAUAUCGGGAGGAACAUCUGUGGCGAAGGCGACACCCUGGACCAGCACUGACACUGAGGCACGAAAGCGUGGGGAGCAAACAGG